GUCAGGAUGGCCGAGUGGUCUAAGGCGCCAGACUCAAGGAAUAAACUCCUUACCCAAAAUGGGUGUUCUGGUCUCCGAAUGGAGGCGUGGGUUCGAAUCCCACUGCGUGGGUUCGAAUCCCACUUCUGACA
Non-coding RNA from Xenopus tropicalis (tropical clawed frog), 131 nucleotides. The record is from Rfam. NCBI's taxonomy places the organism in Eukaryota, Metazoa, Chordata, Amphibia, Anura, Pipidae.